This 509-nucleotide ribosomal RNA is filed under the name Epitheca marginata. RNAcentral describes it as "partial 16S rRNA". It matches the Rfam family "Bacterial large subunit ribosomal RNA", at positions 1819 to 2597 of the family's 2925-position model. The record is from RNAcentral. Lineage: Eukaryota; Metazoa; Arthropoda; Insecta; Odonata; Corduliidae.
GUCUUUUUGAAUAUAUAUAAAAAGUCUGACCUGCCCAGUGAUUUAUUUUAACGGCCGCGGUAUAUUGACCGUGCAAAGGUAGCAUAAUCAUUAGUCUUUUAAAAGAGGGCUGGAAUGAAAGGUUUGACGAGGUAUUGACUGUCUCAUUUUAUUUGGAUUUAGAAUUUAACUUUUUAGUCAAAAGGCUAAAAUUUAAUUGGUAGACGAGAAGACCCUAUAGAGCUUUAUAUUAAUUGUUUUAAUUUUAUUUAGAUAAUUUUUAAUUAAAGAACUUAGUAUUUUGUUGGGGUGACAGAAAAAUAAGAUUAACUUUUUUAAUUAUAUAACAUUAAUUUAUGAUUAGUUGAUCCAUUAUUAUUGAUUAAUAGAUUAAGUUACCUUAGGGAUAACAGCGUAAUCCUCCCCCAGAGUUCAUAUUUACGGGUAGGGCUUGCGACCUCGAUGUUGGAUUAAGAUAAUAAUUAGGUGUAGCCGCUUAAUUUAUAGGUCUGUUCGACCUUUAAAUUCUU